This 443-nucleotide ribosomal RNA is filed under the name uncultured bacterium. RNAcentral's name for it is "partial 16S ribosomal RNA". It matches the Rfam family "Bacterial small subunit ribosomal RNA", at positions 338 to 795 of the family's 1533-position model. The record is from RNAcentral.
CCUACGGGAGGCAGCAGUGGGGAAUAUUGGGCAAUGGGCGCAAGCCUGACCCAGCAACGCCGCGUGAAGGAAGAAGGCUUUCGGGUUGUAAACUUCUUUUCUGAGGGACGAAGAAAGUGACGGUACCUCAGGAAUAAGCCACGGCUAACUACGUGCCAGCAGCCGCGGUAAUACGUAGGUGGCAAGCGUUAUCCGGAUUUAUUGGGUGUAAAGGGCGUGUAGGCGGGAAAGCAAGUCAGAUGUGAAAACUCAGGGCUCAACCCUGAGCCUGCAUUUGAAACUGUUUUUCUUGAGUGCUGGAGAGGCAAUCGGAAUUCCGUGUGUAGCGGUGAAAUGCGUAGAUAUACGGAGGAACACCAGUGGCGAAGGCGGAUUGCUGGACAGUAACUGACACUGAGGCUCGAAAGUGUGGGUAUCAAACAGGAUUAGAUACCCCAGUAGUC